This 253-nucleotide ribosomal RNA is filed under the name uncultured prokaryote. Its description in RNAcentral is "partial 16S ribosomal RNA". It matches the Rfam family "Bacterial small subunit ribosomal RNA", at positions 524 to 776 of the family's 1533-position model. The record is from RNAcentral.
UACGUAGGGUCCGAGCGUUGUCCGGAAUUAUUGGGCGUAAAGGGCUCGUAGGCGGUUUGUCGCGUCGGGAGUGAAAACACCGGGCUUAACUCGGUGCUUGCUUUCGAUACGGGCAGACUGGAGGUAUGCAGGGGAGAACGGAAUUCCUGGUGUAGCGGUGAAAUGCGCAGAUAUCAGGAGGAACACCGGUGGCGAAGGCGGUUCUCUGGGCAUUACCUGACGCUCAUGCACGAAAGCGUGGGGAGCAAACAGG